RNAcentral lists this ribosomal RNA (173 nucleotides) under Serrasalmus elongatus (slender piranha). RNAcentral describes it as "partial small subunit ribosomal RNA". Lineage: Eukaryota; Metazoa; Chordata; Actinopteri; Characiformes; Serrasalmidae. The record is from RNAcentral.
CCGCGGUUAUACGAGAGACCCCAGUUGAUAACUACGGCGUAAAGAGUGGUUUGGGGCCUCACCCAAAAUAAAGCCAAAGACCUCCCAAGCCGUCAAACGCACCCCGGAGGCACGAAGUCCUAACGCGAAAGCAACUUUACCUCCCCCGACGCCACGAAAGCUAAGAAACAAAC